Molecule: ribosomal RNA, 301 nt
Filed under: uncultured bacterium
Lineage: Bacteria
Description: partial 16S ribosomal RNA
Rfam family: Bacterial small subunit ribosomal RNA
Source: RNAcentral
CAGUCGCCGCGGUAAUACGAGGGGAGCUAGCGUUGUUCGGAAUUACUGGGCGUAAAGCGCGCGUAGGCGGCUUUUUAAGUCAGAGGUGAAAGCCCGGGGCUCAACCCCGGAAUUGCCUUUGAAACUGGAAAGCUAGAAUCUUGGAGAGGUCAGUGGAAUUCCGAGUGUAGAGGUGAAAUUCGUAGAUAUUCGGAAGAACACCAGUGGCGAAGGCGACUGACUGGACAAGUAUUGACGCUGAGGUGCGAAAGCGUGGGGAGCAAACAGGAUUAGAUACCCCAGUAGUCCCUGUCUCUUAUAA